Molecule: ribosomal RNA, 253 nt
Filed under: uncultured bacterium
Lineage: Bacteria
Description: partial 16S ribosomal RNA
Rfam family: Archaeal small subunit ribosomal RNA
Source: RNAcentral
UACCAGCACCCCGAGUGGUCGGGACGAUUAUUGGGCCUAAAGCAUCCGUAGCCGGUUCUACAAGUCUUCCGUUAAAUCCACCUGCUUAACAGAUGGGCUGCGGAGGAUACUAUGGAGCUAGGGGGCGGGAGAGGCAAGCGGUACUUAGUGGGUAGGGGUAAAAUCCGUUGAUCCAUUGAAGACCACCAGUGGCGAAGGCGGCUUGCCAGAACGCACUCGACGGUGAGGGAUGAAAGCUGGGGGAGCAAACCGG